Molecule: non-coding RNA, 218 nt
Organism: Hydra vulgaris (swiftwater hydra)
Lineage: Eukaryota; Metazoa; Cnidaria; Hydrozoa; Anthoathecata; Hydridae
Source: RefSeq, a predicted model, not a curated record
AAAUGAGUUAUUUAUACUAUCUUAGAAUUUGCUGCUUUAGAGGCACGGCAUUUAGUGUCACAUUAAUUUACUGUUUUAGACACGUGGCAUGUGGUAUCCCACUACACUUGGUAUAAGCUGUCAUACUGUAAGUUUAAAUUGGUUGUAAAAUUUAUAUUGUAACUUGCAUUUCUAUUGGCGUGCAUAUUUAUUUAGUUGAGUUUCAACUAUUAAUAAUA